Molecule: long non-coding RNA, 556 nt
Filed under: Setaria viridis
Lineage: Eukaryota; Viridiplantae; Streptophyta; Magnoliopsida; Poales; Poaceae
Description: long non-coding RNA (SVIR_LNC009742)
Source: RNAcentral
CGGUCCCAACUUCGUGGCCGAACCUGAUUGGCUUUCGUGUGCAAGAUGCAAUUACAAUUAUCCACAGGGAGCGGCCAGAUUUAAGAGGAGCUCGCGUGCUCCCUCCAAACGUGGCCCCGACGCCACCCGCACCAGGAGAAGUCCGUGUUGUCAUCUACAACGACAGCCAGCACAUUGUUAUCCCCCCAGCGCCAUACAUUGGCUAGCCAACUGGCAUUAUAUUUUUUUUUCUUAUACUACAUAAAAGCCUAGCAUCUUUUAUGAAUAAUGCGACAGAGUGUGAUAUCGAUCGCCAUGAAUGCUAUCUAGUGUGUAUAGAGUUGCUUGUAUGGUCGAGUCAUAUUUGUGCGUGUGUGUGAGCUUGUGUGAUGAAUCUGCAUAUGCUUCAAUGGUUGUACUACCCAAUAUAUUAAAUAAACAAUACUGUAUUGCCCCGUUUGCUAUGCUAGGAAAGUAUCCCAGUCUUUGCAUGUAAAUGUUCGAUCGUUAUAGCUCCACACCAUUAAGAUUGCAGUUUUGACUGUAGAACUAAUCCUCGCAUUCUUGGCUCAGCAUG